GUGCCAGCAGCCGCGGUAAUACCGGCAGCCCAAGUGAUGGCCGAUUUUAUUGGGCCUAAAGCGUCCGUAGCUGGCCGCACAAGUCCAUCGGAAAAUCCACCCGCCCAACGGGUGGGCGUCCGGUGGAAACUGUGUGGCUUGGGACCGGAAGGCGCGACGGGUACGUCCGGGGUAGGAGUGAAAUCCCGUAAUCCUGGACGGACCGCCGAUGGCGAAAGCACGUCGCGAGGACGGACCCGACAGUGAGGGACGAAAGCCAGGGUCUCGAACCGGAUUAGAAACCCCGGUAGUCC
This 293-nucleotide ribosomal RNA is filed under the name uncultured prokaryote. RNAcentral describes it as "partial 16S ribosomal RNA". It matches the Rfam family "Archaeal small subunit ribosomal RNA", at positions 455 to 747 of the family's 1478-position model. The record is from RNAcentral.